RNAcentral lists this microRNA precursor (71 nucleotides) under Paramuricea clavata. The record is from RNAcentral. Lineage: Eukaryota; Metazoa; Cnidaria; Anthozoa; Malacalcyonacea; Plexauridae.
UUUGUAUUAUGAGCGGAAAUUGUUACCAUUUUCGGCUCAAAAAUGGUAACAAUUUCCGCACGUAAUACAAA